GUUGUUCUUGUUGAGAUGGAGUAAUAAUAUGAUUAAUUUUAAUCUGAUGAUUAUUGAAAGAGAUUAUUUGAGCUCCUUGGGUAGAUGCAGUGAAGUGAUUUCACUUGUUUCGGGUGAGGAUAUGAGGUAAUGAUAUAGAAUUGCUGAUUUUUGUUGGUGUUGGACCUACUUAAAUAAACUUAGAUGAAAAAAAUACUUGAAUGUGUAGCAACCCUAUUUUUUAUAAAUAUCAAAUAGUGAAUAAUGAGAAUCCUUAAAUGUUGUGUAAGUAAAUGUGUAAUACGAAUAAAUUUAGCAUGUUAUAAUAUCUAAAAUGGAAAGAUGUGCAUACUUGUCUAAUCUAUUAAAAAGAAAAAGAUCUAAUGUCUAGGAGAAUAAUUAGACAUACAUCUUAUGAUGGGUAUCAAUUAAAGAAAUACAUUAAAAUAAUUAAAAUAUAGCACAUGGACCAAUAGGGAUAUGUCAAAGGGGAUAAUAAUCGGAUAUUCGGAUCCAACUAUCACUACAAAAUUUAUAUAUAUUUGUGGGUCUUUUUUAGUGAGAGUUUUUAAAAACCUCCAUAACAUAUUUUAUCUGUGGCAUUUUGAUAAACUCCCACAAGAUAACUAAGAAUAAAACUCAUUGUUACCACUUAAAUUACCAUAUAAUUAAAACUCUUUUCAAAAUCGAAGAAAAUACUUGAAGAGAAAGAACAGAGGAUGAGAGCUCACUGAAACCCUAGCAUUGCGAUAGCCAUCUCCAUCGCCGUCGCCGCCUCUGCCGCCGUCGCCGCCUCCUCCGCCAUUGCUGCCGUCGUUACUACUAAAGUUCAUCUCCUUUAUGCUGUUGCCAGAAAGCCUCUGAGACCAAGAGAAAGCACCUCUUCUGUCAACUCUCCUCCGCAAAUGAUUCUUGUGUUCUCCAUCGGCAUUCUCUCGCUUCUGCAUGCUCUUCUUCGUUCCACUCCUUCUCAAUUUUCGAGUUGGUGUUUCUGUACAUUGAGAAAGUUGAAGCAAGCUUCAAUGUGAAAAAUAUUUAUACUUCCAAGGAGGAGGUCUUCCGCUAUAUAUUGGCACUUCAUUCUUACUAGGGACUAUCCUAAUAGUAUAAGAGAAGACCUUGUUAAGGGGUUUGUUAGGAUCUAUUUGUUGAUCAGGUACUCUUAUGUUGCUUCCAUUUUAUUUUAACUGUCUCUACUAUUAUUUUCUGCUCAGAUACAAAAUGUCCUAUCUUGGUUUCUUUCUUUAGGGAAGAGGGAAAGAUAUCACGCAAGCUUAUUGAGUGUAUUAAUAUAUAUUUGUUAAAUGAUGGUCCAAAUUUGGGCGGUCAUUUGUUAGAGAUUCAUACUGCUAUACAGCAAUUUGUGUUUCGUUGUUGGUUGACAACACAUGAUCGAGUGCUUAAGGUAUCUUACCAUUUUAUUUGAAUGCAAAAUACUGCAUUAAUUUUAUAAAUUGUUUUUAUUUAUUUUUUUAAACCCAAUGUCUGUUACAAGAUUCACUUAUAUUGUAUUCAAGGAUACAAUUAAAUUUGAUUAAUGUGGAUUUGGACCAUUUUUAGAUCUGUUCACUCCCAAGCUUCUUCGUCCACGCCGCUUUCUCUCACUCCAAUUUUUCCUUUGAACUGCCGCUGGUACCUCUUUUUCUUCCCUAUUAAUUUGAUGAUAUUUAUUCUUUGUUAACAAUAAAUUUUGCAAUAACUUUUGAGAUCAGAGAAGAGUGACUUCGCUAAUAUAAGGAGGCAAAUAAUAUAUAAGGAGGGAAACCGAAUAGGUUCAGCUCUAAUACUCUUGCUUUUUUUGUGAUUUCUAAAAUAGUUCGAUUAAGUAGAUUUGAUUUUGAAUUUCUGAAUUGAAUAGUCAUAAUUCACUGCUCAUUUGUGUCCGAUGAAGCAGGUGUAUGCCCUUCGCUGUUGUGGAUUUUGUGUUAUGAUUCUAAUAAGGAAAUCCAAACAGCACACUGGGAAAUUUAUAUAUCUUUAUAAUUUUUGUUCACUAUGUUUUAGUUCUAAUUUCUACUUUGUUAACUCUUUAUUUUCUCUCUAUGAUUUGAUCAUGCAUUGUAGUGGCAACAAAUGGAUAUCAAAUAUACGUUUUGGCAAAUGCUUCAUCUAUGUACAUCACCAAAAGUUAUCUACCAGUUAGAAAUGCUAUCCUCGGGUUUGUUGGAGGGAGUUAGCCACUCAUUUACAAAGAAUUUUCAUUUAAUUGAUUCGGCGAAGGGAUAUCUUUCAUAUGCAUUAUUUUCAGCUUCAGUUUCAUAAUUUCCUGUCAUAUUUCAGUAUGCAACUGGAAUAUUCUUGGUGCUGUUGUUACGAUUCAGAGAGAGUCUCAAAGUGAAAUAGGCAUCUUCUUUCCGCUGAUAGUGCUUAGACCACUGGACAGUUUAGAGUUUCCCAUCAACCAAAAAGAUGCUGGAAAAAGUAUGUAAGGAUCCACAGAUGCAAGUAGUUCAUUUGAGGUUUAGUUACUUUAAAAUUCUCUGUAGUUUCAUUGAACUUCCAUAUUGGGUAUAAAACUGCUUUUUUUUUUUGGAUAUUAUUAUAAGUUAAUGGAAAACAAGCCUGCUUCAUUUGCUCAAUUUUUGAAGAACACUCACAAUCUGGAUAAAGUUGUAACUCUCAUGUAGUGCAAUUUAAUUUUAGAUUCAUGUUUGUUCUUGUAAUAUAUACCUCUUGGUUGUAUUGGGGUAAAAAAUUAUGAAUGGAAGCUCCAUGGAAUUGAUCCAUGUGUAUUUUGACCCA
Molecule: non-coding RNA, 2721 nt
Organism: Arachis ipaensis
Lineage: Eukaryota; Viridiplantae; Streptophyta; Magnoliopsida; Fabales; Fabaceae
Source: RefSeq, a predicted model, not a curated record